UUCGCGGCCUAUCAGCUUGUUGGUGAGGUAACGGCUCACCAAGGCGACGACGGGUAGCCGGCCUGAGAGGGCGACCGGCCACACUGGGACUGAGACACGGCCCAGACUCCUACGGGAGGCAGCAGUGGGGAAUAUUGCACAAUGGGCGAAAGCCUGAUGCAGCGACGCCGCGUGAGGGAUGACGGCCUUCGGGUUGUAAACCUCUUUCAGCAGGGAAGAAGCGAAAGUGACGGUACCUGCAGAAGAAGCGCCGGCUAACUACGUGCCAGCAGCCGCGGUAAUACGUAGGGCGCAAGCGUUGUCCGGAAUUAUUGGGCGUAAAGAGCUCGUAGGCGGCUUGUCACGUCGGUUGUGAAAGCCCGGGGCUUAACCCCGGGUCUGCAGUCGAUACGGGCAGGCUAGAGUUCGGUAGGGGAGAUCGGAAUUCCUGGUGUAGCGGUGAAAUGCGCAGAUAUCAGGAGGAACACCGGUGGCGAAGGCGGAUCUCUGGGCCGAUACUGACGCUGAGGAGCGAAAGCGUGGGGAGCGAACAGGAUUAGAUACCCUGGUAGUCCACGCCGUAAACGGUGGGCACUAGGUGUGGGCAACAUUCCACGUUGUCCGUGCCGCAGCUAACGCAUUAAGUGCCCCGCCUGGGGAGUACGGA
RNAcentral lists this ribosomal RNA (646 nucleotides) under Streptomyces sp. ADIP2. Its description in RNAcentral is "bacterial SSU rRNA". It matches the Rfam family "Bacterial small subunit ribosomal RNA", at positions 230 to 886 of the family's 1533-position model. The record is from RNAcentral. Lineage: Bacteria; Bacillati; Actinomycetota; Actinomycetes; Kitasatosporales; Streptomycetaceae.